Molecule: long non-coding RNA, 1577 nt
Filed under: Vigna radiata
Lineage: Eukaryota; Viridiplantae; Streptophyta; Magnoliopsida; Fabales; Fabaceae
Description: long non-coding RNA (VRAD_LNC003933)
Source: RNAcentral
ACACUGUAAUGAAGAAUAAAAAAUAAUUAGUGAUAUAAACUAACAUAGUCAGUUAAAGUGAAAUUGGAAUUUGACUUGUUUAAAUAAAACGUGAAUUUUGAACCUUCUAAUAGAAAAAGGGAUAUGACUGAAUACAUAUAGAAGAAUCGUGAUUAAUUAAUGAGAAUCACAAAUCUUAAAAAUUAUUGCUUGUAAAAAUAAUACUAUAUUUAGUUUUAUUACAUAAUACUUGAUCAUUGAAUUGGAUAAUAAAUUUGAUACUCCAUUAUUAAAUUAUUGAUUAACAAUAUGUGGAUAAAAUGUGUAUAGCAAUUUUUGCAAAACAGUUCCUCUCCUCACUAAGACCAACAGCUUAAUUAACUGGUUUAUCUCAGUAUCCAAUGGCAUCGUAACAAUUACAGUGUUUAUGUAUUGUGGCAGAAAAAGUAUACCAUGGUAACAAUUAAAUCCAUGUGGCACUUCACAUGGUUUAAACCAGACCACAGUUAAAGAUUAACCAAUGUAGUCUAUUGCCUUAAGUUUUCGUAACACAUGCAUGUGUGGUCAUAUGUUGGUUUAUCUUAACUCUUUUAAAUGUACAAGUCAAUGGAAGAUAAAUCUGUAGUACCACUCUUUAUCGUUUUACAGAAAGUAUUCAUUUUUCUCUUCUAGAUCAUGAACAUUCAAAUAGUGAAAAUUAGACUAUUUGAUCUUUAGUACAAUUUUAGUAUUUUAAAUGGUAUUUAUAUAAUUGUAUUUUUUUUAUAAAAUGAAAGAUAAAAAAUAAGUAAAAUCCUUAUAUAAAUUCGUGAUCUUUUAAAUUUUUGAAACUCUGGUUAAACUGUAAUAGAUUACAUGUAAUAGUAACAUAGCCAAAUUAUCUAGUUGUAAAAGAAAUAUCCAAGUUGUAAGUGAUUUAUUGGAGCUAUUUGGUAGGUUGAGACAGAUAUUCAUAAAGAUGCAUUAAGCAUUUGGUUGAAGGCCGAUACAUCAAUGAUAGAUAAAGCCAUUUUUAAUGCAAUUUCACAGUCAGUAAGCCAUCCAUUCGUUAUAAAUUAUGCUCUCCAAUCUCAAUCUGCUUCAUCCUUUCAUCUCUCACUUCCAACUCUGCCUUCUUCUUUUUCAUCUGCUGUUAUUGGUUGCCAUUUCCAAUGCAAAUUUUCAUCCAUCUCCAAGGUCCACUAGUCUGCUUCUGUUUGUUGUCUGUGUUUUUUGUGGUGAGAAGCUCCAGCAAUGAAUACCACAGGACGGUCCAGGUAGUUGGCCAAGGAGAAUGCGCAGACUGCAGCCAUAACAACAUUAAGACCAGUCAUGCUUUCUCAGGUACAUUUUCUUAUAAUAUGUCAGUAUAUGCUUAGUAUAAUAGCAAUGAUAUAUAUAUUUAUAUAUUCACAAAUCCAUUUAACCAUAUAACUUUGUUUAAUUCUUCAAUCAUUCAUUCAUAUAUUAUACAGUAAACUACUGGUUUUUACCUUUUAAUUAUGCUACUAGCCAGUAUGAAGCCUAAUUCUAUAAUAUAAGAAUCCUGUGCAUUACCUGUGUGUAGGACUACGUGUAGCGGUAAACUGUAAGUCACCUCAUGGACACUACAGAACGAG